RNAcentral lists this ribosomal RNA (478 nucleotides) under uncultured bacterium. RNAcentral describes it as "bacterial SSU rRNA". It matches the Rfam family "Bacterial small subunit ribosomal RNA", at positions 64 to 524 of the family's 1533-position model. The record is from RNAcentral.
GAGCGAACCAAUAGGAGCUUAGCAUCUGUUGGUUAGCGGCGGACGGGUGAGUAACACGUGGGCAACCUGCCUGUAAGACUGGGAUAACACCGGGAAACCGGUGCUAAUACCGGAUAAUUCUUUUCAACACAUGUUGGAAAGCUGAAAGUCGGUUUUGGCUGACACUUACAGAUGGGCCCGCGGCGCAUUAGCUAGUUGGUGAGGUAACGGCUCACCAAGGCAACGAUGCGUAGCCGACCUGAGAGGGUGAUCGGCCACACUGGGACUGAGACACGGCCCAGACUCCUACGGGAGGCAGCAGUAGGGAAUCUUCCACAAUGGACGAAAGUCUGAUGGAGCAACGCCGCGUGAGCGAAGAAGGCCUUCGGGUCGUAAAGCUCUGUUGUCAGGGAAGAACAAGUAUCGGAGUAACUGCCGGUACCUUGACGGUACCUGACCAGAAAGCCACGGCUAACUACGUGCCAGCAGCCGCGGUAAU